Molecule: long non-coding RNA, 907 nt
Filed under: Marmota monax (woodchuck)
Lineage: Eukaryota; Metazoa; Chordata; Mammalia; Rodentia; Sciuridae
Source: RNAcentral
CUCUCUUUCUCUCUGUGUGUGUGUGUGUAUUAAAAACAAAACAAAAACAGGAGACAAAAUCAGUCUUGCAGAGCUGAGAAGGGAUAUAUGUCACAAUGAGAAAUUAACUGUCAUCUAAGUAAAAUUAAAUCAAUAAAAUAAUUAUUAAAACUAAAACUUCUUCUUUUGAAAAAGAAAGUUUAAAAAUAUUGAAAAGGAAAGUCACACAUUGGAAGAAAAUAUGCUGAAACAGAUAUCUAAAAAAAGACUUUAAUCCAGAAUGUAUAGAAAACUCUUACAACUCAAUAGUAUGACAGAUAACCAGUAAAAACAAGACAAUAAAUUUGAACACAUUUCUCGAAGAUGUAUGAAUGACCCAUAAUCAAAUGAACUGAGAGAUGCUCAAUAUUAUAAAUCAUUAGAGCAAUUCAAAUUAAAACCACAGUGAGUGCCGGGGUUGUAGCUCGGUGGUAGUGCACUUGCCUAGCAAUGUGAGGCACUGGGUUCAAUCCUCAGCACCACAUAUAAAUACAUACAUACAUACAUACAUACAUGAACUACUACUGUGUACCCCCUAAACUUAUAAAGUUUAACAAAAAUAAAAACCAAACCACCAAAUGUUGGUCAGAUUGUGGAUUCACUAGAGAUUAUUCAUAUAUUACUGAUUGGAAUGUAAAAUUGUAUAAUCACUUUGAAAACAGUUUAGUAAAUAAAAUAAAAUAAAAUAAACUUAGACAAACAUUACCAUAUGACCCAGUAAUUUUACUUCUAGGUACUUACCCCAAAUAAUUUAAAAAUAUGUAUUCACACCAAGAAUUACAUAAGAAUUCUCACAGCAGCUUUAUUCAUAAUAGCCUCACACUAUUAAUAACCCAAAUGUCCUUCAACAGAUGAAAUGAUAAAUGUGGUAUGUGAAUUCAAUAGAGUA